RNAcentral lists this unclassified non-coding RNA (591 nucleotides) under Hevea brasiliensis (rubber tree). Lineage: Eukaryota; Viridiplantae; Streptophyta; Magnoliopsida; Malpighiales; Euphorbiaceae. The record is from RNAcentral.
UUUGAAAUAGUUCAUUUCUUUAAACUAAUUACUGCAAUCAAAUAUGAUAUCAAUAAUUUAUUAAAAGCACAAACUUAUAGAAAAAGCCAAGAAUUCAUGAUUCCACCUAUUCCUUUAAUCCAUUUUCUUUUCUUUAAAAAAAAAAAAUCACUUUCUCACCAUUAUUAUUCAAUCUCGUGAACUAGAGACUUAAGUAUCAAUCAAUAGCAUUUACGAUUAUAAGCAAACAAUAUCCUACUAAAUUCAAGAUACAAAUGCAAUAACAGUAACCCUCUAUCGAAUUGCCCAGACACAGCAUAAUUUCACAAAUUAAAAACACAAAUCUGAGCAUUCCAUUGAUUUAUUGUUGCAAACUCAGAAGAACAGAAAGCAGUGCACCAGGCACGGUCAUUUAAAUUACAUUAACUCGCAAUAUUUAAAACUCAAUCAACCCCUUUCCUUCAAUAGCUUAACCCACGAUCCAAAAACAAACCAAUCAAACGCAACACCAUAAACUGCGAUCCUGCUUAAAUAAUUAAAAUCCGAAAACAAAUUCCAUUUAUUUGAAGAAAAAAAUGAAAAUUCGAUACCUAUCAGACAUGGUAGCUAUAG